This 468-nucleotide ribosomal RNA is filed under the name uncultured bacterium. Its description in RNAcentral is "partial 16S ribosomal RNA". It matches the Rfam family "Bacterial small subunit ribosomal RNA", at positions 28 to 507 of the family's 1533-position model. The record is from RNAcentral.
GACGAACGCUGGCGGCGUGCUUAACACAUGCAAGUCGAACGGAAAGGCCCGGCUUUUGUUGGGCGGUCGAUUGGCGAGCGGGGGAGUAACACGUGAGUAACCUGCCCCUGACUUAGGGAUAACUUCACGAAACUGGGGCGAUUAUCGGAUAGGAUCUCUUGCUGCAUGGGGGGGGUAGGAGAGUUCCGGCGUUGGGGGAUGGUCUCGCGGCUUAUCAGCUUGAUGGUCUGGUAGGGGCGUACCACGGCUUUGACGGGUAGGCGGCAUGGGAGGGUGGCCGGCCACAUUAGGCCUGAGAUACGGCCCAGACUCCUACGUGACGCAACGGUGGAGAGUAUUGCACAGCAGGCGGGAGCCUGAUGCAGCGCCGCCGCGUGCGGGAUGACGUCCUUCUGGUUGUAAACCGAUUUCGCCUGUGACGAGGCGUUAGUGACGGUAAUGAAUAAGGAAGCCCCGGCUAACUACGUG